GACGAACGCUGGCGGCGUGCUUAACACAUGCAAGUCGAGCGGUAAGGCCCUUUCGGGGUACGACGAGCGGCGAACGGGUGAGUAACACGUGGGUGACCUGCCCUCAGCUCUGGGAUAAGCCCUGGGAAACUGGGUCUAAUACCGGGAUAUGACUCCAUGACGCAUGUUGUGGGGUGGAAAGCCUUGUGCGGCUGAGGAUGGGCCCGCGGCCUAUCAGCUUGUUGGUGGGGUGANGGCCUACCAAGGCGACGACGGGUAGCCGGCCUGAGAGGGCGACCGGCCACACUGGGACUGGGA
This 297-nucleotide ribosomal RNA is filed under the name uncultured bacterium. RNAcentral describes it as "partial 16S ribosomal RNA". It matches the Rfam family "Bacterial small subunit ribosomal RNA", at positions 28 to 324 of the family's 1533-position model. The record is from RNAcentral.